Sander lucioperca (pikeperch) is the source of this 429-nucleotide long non-coding RNA. RefSeq lists it as uncharacterized. The transcript is spliced from 3 exons. The record is from RefSeq and is a predicted model, not a curated record. Lineage: Eukaryota; Metazoa; Chordata; Actinopteri; Perciformes; Percidae.
UCAAAACAAAAACAGGAAACAGAGAAAAACAGAAAAACAAGACUACCACAAUAAGACAGAACACAGAACAAAAUACCACAACCAUGCCACUUCAUCAGUUUCCUACAGUUUUAGAGCCCAAACUGUGACAAGUAGAGCAUAUUUUGUGAAGCUGUUUAAUUUAUUUAUCACUUUUAAUAUAAACAUAUUUGUGUACGGGGGGGGGCAGUAACCGAGGAGGCAGAAUAACAAUAAAGAGGGUAGUUCUGUUCUUGAUUUUCUUUCUGAAAAUCAAACUUUCCCUCAUUGUGUGAAACUCUCUGCAGGGGGGGGGAGGAGGUGCGUCUUCCAACAACGGGACACCAGAAGCCGAAGAACAGAUCCCGCUCCAACCAACAGGAAACCAGAACACCAGACUGAACCAAAGGGAAGGAACGCGACAGACCCUCG